Ochotona princeps (American pika) is the source of this 81-nucleotide small nucleolar RNA. Its record names the gene SNORD115. It matches the Rfam family "Small nucleolar RNA SNORD115". Rfam says of the family: HBII-52 is a member of the C/D class of snoRNAs, which contain the C (UGAUGA) and D (CUGA) box motifs. NCBI's taxonomy places the organism in Eukaryota, Metazoa, Chordata, Mammalia, Lagomorpha, Ochotonidae. The record is from Ensembl.
GGCUUAAUGAUGAGGCCUCACACUAUCUCAAAGAGAGAUGAUGACUUAAAAACCAUGCUUAAUAGGAUCAUGCUGAGGCCC